AGUGAACGCUGGCGGUAGGCCUAACACAUGCAAGUCGAACGGCAGCACAGUAAGAGCUUGCUCUUACGGGUGGCGAGUGGCGGACGGGUGAGGAAUACAUCGGAAUCUACUUUUUCGUGGGGGAUAACGUAGGGAAACUUACGCUAAUACCGCAUACGACCUACGGGUGAAAGCAGGGGAUCUUCGGACCUUGCGCGAUUGAAUGAGCCGAUGUCGGAUUAGCUAGUUGGCGGGGUAAGGCCCACCAAGGCGACGAUCCGUAGCUGGUCUGAGAGGAUGAUCAGCCACACUGGAACUGAGACACGGUCCAGACUCCUACGGGAGGCAGCAGCGGGGAAUAUUGGACAAUGGGCGCAAGCCUGAUCCAGCCAUACCGCGUGGGUGAAGAAGGCCUUCGGGUUGUAAAGCCCUUUUGUUGGGAAAGAAAAGCAGCAGGUUAAUACCCCGCUGUUCUGACGGUACCCAAAGAAUAAGCACCGGCUAACUUCGUG
RNAcentral lists this ribosomal RNA (491 nucleotides) under uncultured bacterium. Its description in RNAcentral is "partial 16S ribosomal RNA". It matches the Rfam family "Bacterial small subunit ribosomal RNA", at positions 29 to 507 of the family's 1533-position model. The record is from RNAcentral.